CUGCCAGACUCCUACGGGAGGCAGCAGUGGGGAAUAUUGCACAAUGGGGGAAACCCUGAUGCAGCAACGCCGCGUGAAGGAAGACGGUUUUCGGAUUGUAAACUUCUGUUCUUAGUGAAGAAGAAUGACGGUAGCUAAGGAGCAAGCCACGGCUAACUACGUGCCAGCAGCCGCGGUAAUACGUAGGGGGCGAGCGUUAUCCGGAUUUACUGGGUGUAAAGGGAGCGUAGACGGCCAUGCAAGCUCGGUGUGAAAGGUGCGGGCACAACCCGCAGACUGCACUGAGAACUGUAUGGCUGGAGUGCCGGAGGGGCAGGCGGAAUUCCUGGUGUAGCGGUGAAAUGCGUAGAUAUCAGGAGGAACACCGGUGGCGAAGGCGGCCUGCUGGACGGCGACUGACGUUGAGGCUCGAAAGCGUGGGGAGCGAACAGGAUUAGAUACCCCCGUAC
RNAcentral lists this ribosomal RNA (449 nucleotides) under uncultured bacterium. RNAcentral's name for it is "bacterial SSU rRNA". It matches the Rfam family "Bacterial small subunit ribosomal RNA", at positions 328 to 793 of the family's 1533-position model. The record is from RNAcentral.